GGGCAUAGUUCAGUGGUAGAAUGUCUGCUUCCCAAGCAGAAGAUCGCCGGUUCGAGUCCGGUUGCCC
Molecule: transfer RNA, 67 nt
Filed under: bovine gut metagenome
Rfam family: tRNA
About the family: Transfer RNA (tRNA) molecules are approximately 80 nucleotides in length.
Source: RNAcentral